GACGAACGCUGGCGGCGUGCCUAAUACAUGCAAGUAGAACGCUGAAGAGAGGAGCUUGCUCUUCUUGGAUGAGUUGCGAACGGGUGAGUAACGCGUAGGUAACCUGCCUUGUAGCGGGGGAUAACUAUUGGAAACGAUAGCUAAUACCGCAUAACAAUGGAUGACACAUGUCUUUUAUUUGAAAGGGGCAAUUGCUCCACUACAAGAUGGACCUGCGUUGUAUUAGCUAGUAGGUGAGGUAAUGGCUCACCUAGGCGACGAUACAUAGCCGACCUGAGAGGGUGAUCGGCCACACUGGGACUGAGACACGGCCCAGACUCCUACGGGAGGCAGCAGUAGGGAAUCUUCGGCAAUGGGGGCAACCCUGACCGAGCAACGCCGCGUGAGUGAAGAAGGUUUUCGGAUCGUAAAGCUCUGUUGUAAGUCAAGAACGGGUGUGAGAGUGGAAAGUUCACACUGUGACGGUAGCUUACCAGAAAGGGACGGCUAACUACGU
RNAcentral lists this ribosomal RNA (496 nucleotides) under uncultured bacterium. RNAcentral describes it as "partial 16S ribosomal RNA". It matches the Rfam family "Bacterial small subunit ribosomal RNA", at positions 28 to 506 of the family's 1533-position model. The record is from RNAcentral.